This 496-nucleotide ribosomal RNA is filed under the name uncultured bacterium. RNAcentral describes it as "partial 16S ribosomal RNA". It matches the Rfam family "Bacterial small subunit ribosomal RNA", at positions 28 to 506 of the family's 1533-position model. The record is from RNAcentral.
GAUGAACGCUGGCGGCGUGCCUAAUACAUGCAAGUCGAGCGAACGGACGAGAAGCUUGCUUCUCUGAUGUUAGCGGCGGACGGGUGAGUAACACGUGGAUAACCUACCUAUAAGACUGGGAUAACUUCGGGAAACCGGAGCUAAUACCGGAUAAUAUUUUGAACCGCAUGGUUCAAAAGUGAAAGACGGUCUUGCUGUCACUUAUAGAUGGAUCCGCGCUGCAUUAGCUAGUUGGUAAGGUAACGGCUUACCAAGGCAACGAUGCAUAGCCGGCCUGAGAGGGUGAUCGGCCACACUGGAACUGAGACACGGUCCAGACUCCUACGGGAGGCAGCAGUAGGGAAUCUUCCGCAAUGGGCGAAAGCCUGACGGAGCAACGCCGCGUGAGUGAUGAAGGUCUUCGGAUCGUAAAACUCUGUUAUUAGGGAAGAACAUAUGUGUAAGUAACUGUGCACAUCUUGACGGUACCUAAGCAGAAAGCCACGGCUAACUACGU